UGUGACCCUUUUCAAGCCCUUAUUUAUGUUGAUUUUGAUGAUUCGUGCCUAAACCAAAGACAUCACAAGUGUCCUGGGCUGAGUAGAAAAAGGACUGGUUUGCCGCUCACAGGUACAAAGUCUUCUUUUCAGAUGAAAAAACAACAUUUCAUGGAAAUGAAAGCUGGAAGCUGGAAGCUGCAUGCUUGAUCUGCAGAAGCCAAGUCCUCUGAUAAUUUAGACAAAUGAAUAUGUUGUCAUUUAAAUGCAACAUAUUAGACAGUCAUGAAAGAGAAAUUUGUUGUUUCUUGCAACACCUCUCUGUCGGCAUGUCUCCCCUACAUGGUUUGGUUUGGAUUGGGGAACAGGGCAGGUUGCAAAGCUUCUUGAAUUAGCCCCGAAAAUGGACACAUCAUGUAUUUAUCUGGGAAAGAAGGCCAGCGGAAACAAUGAAAGUUCAAUUCUCUGAUAGACACCCUGCAGCUCUGUGUGUCUAAUCACUGGAGGUUACCCGUGAAUGUUGAUGAGCGUCUGAUGCCAAAAGGAUGUCCAAAUGGUCACAGACGACUGCAACAGCUGCCUGCUUUCUGCAUCUCCGCCGAGGAUUGAGCCGUUGCGGAAGGAAAUGGGCAAAAUAGUGCCUGUAGAGGCUCCUUGUCUCAGCAUACUCUGGAUAAAUUACACUCUCUGACAUAAGAAGUUGAGCAGCCAGAAGAAAAUGUCUGUUUUGGAUCUAAUGUGGUACACAUGAAGACCAGUAAUGAGGAUGGAAAUGAGCCAGUUUACAAGUAGUCAGCAUGUCUAGCAAACACCAGAGGCCAUAACUGGGGGAUCACAAGUGGAAUAAGUGGUCUUACGAGCAGUUACCAGAGCGUCCAACAUGACUGGCGGAUCUCCGGGAGCAGCCUGACGUCGAGUUAAGCGCUGCUGCACAGCCGC
Long non-coding RNA from Girardinichthys multiradiatus, 918 nucleotides. RefSeq lists it as uncharacterized. The transcript is spliced from 4 exons. NCBI's taxonomy places the organism in Eukaryota, Metazoa, Chordata, Actinopteri, Cyprinodontiformes, Goodeidae. The record is from RefSeq and is a predicted model, not a curated record.